This 271-nucleotide ribosomal RNA is filed under the name uncultured prokaryote. RNAcentral describes it as "partial 16S ribosomal RNA". It matches the Rfam family "Bacterial small subunit ribosomal RNA", at positions 524 to 794 of the family's 1533-position model. The record is from RNAcentral.
UACGUAGGUGGCAAGCGUUGUCCGGAUUUAUUGGGCGUAAAGGGAGCGCAGGCGGUGACUUAAGUCUGAUGUGAAAGCCCACGGCUUAACCGUGGAGGGUCAUUGAAAACUGGUCGACUUGAGUGCAGAAGAGGGAAGUGGAAUUCCAUGUGUAGCGGUGAAAUGCGUAGAUAUUAGGAGGAACACCAGUAGCGAAGGCGGCUUCCUGGUCUGUAACUGACACUGAGGCGCGAAAGCGUGGGGAGCAAACAGGAUUAGAUACCCGUGUAGU